RNAcentral lists this ribosomal RNA (628 nucleotides) under uncultured bacterium. RNAcentral describes it as "bacterial SSU rRNA". It matches the Rfam family "Bacterial small subunit ribosomal RNA", at positions 828 to 1456 of the family's 1533-position model. The record is from RNAcentral.
GCUCGUAGAGCUUGGGUGGCGCAGCUAACGCAUUAAGUUAUCCGCCUGGGGAGUACGGUCGCAAGAUUAAAACUCAAAGGAAUUGACGGGGGCCUGCACAAGCGGUGGAGCAUGUGGUUUAAUUCGAAGCAACGCGCAGAACCUUACCAGCCUUUGACAUCCUAGGACGGUUUCUGGAGACAGACUCCUUCCCUUCGGGGACCUAGUGACAGGUGCUGCGUGGCUGUCGUCAGCUCGUGUCGUGAGAUGUUGGGUUAAGUCCCGCAACGAGCGCAACCCUCGUCCUUAGUUGCCAUCAUUUAGUUGGGCACUUUAAGGAAACUGCCGGUGAUAAGCCGGAGGAAGGUGGGGAUGACGUCAAGUCCUCAUGGCCCUUACAGGCUGGGCUACACACGUGCUACAAUGGCAUCUACAGUGGGCAGCUAUCCCGCAAGGGUGAGCUAAUCUCCAAAAGAUGUCUCAGUUCGGAUUGUCCUCUGCAACUCGAGGGCAUGAAGGCGGAAUCGCUAGUAAUCGCGGAUCAGCAUGCCGCGGUGAAUACGUUCCCAGGCCUUGUACACACCGCCCGUCACACCAUAGGAGUUGGAUUCACCCGAAGGCAGUGCGCUAACCGCAAGGAGGCAGCUGA